GAUGAAGAACGUAGCGAAAUGCGAUAAGUAAUGUGAAUUGCAGAAUUCAGUGAAUCAUCGAAUCUUUGAACGCACAUUGCGCCCCUUGGUAUUCCGAGGGGCAUGCCUAUUCGAGCGUCAUUAUCACCCCUCAAGCCUAGCUUGGUGUUGAGGCCUGCUGUCAAGGCAGCCUCUAAAAUCAGUGGCAGUGCUGUCAGGCUCUAAGCGUAGUAAAUCUAAUCGCUAUAGACACCUGGUGGACACUCGCCAGAACCCCCCCAUUUUUUAAUGAUUGACCUCGGAUUAGGUAGGGAUACCCGCUGAACUUAAGCAUAUCAAUAAGCGGAGG
Molecule: unclassified non-coding RNA, 328 nt
Filed under: soil metagenome
Description: partial contains 5.8S ribosomal RNA, internal transcribed spacer 2, and large subunit ribosomal RNA
Rfam family: 5.8S ribosomal RNA (bases 1-120)
Source: RNAcentral